UUGUCUUUAUAAAAAAAAGUGAAAUUGAUUAAAAAAUGUGCUUAAAAUAUUAGAUAUCUUAUAUUAAUUAAAACAUAUAAAUUUUUGUUUAAAAAAUAAACAGUUACGCUGUGAAACCCCUACACGGUUUCUAUUAUAGGAUUAUAUACUAUUUAUUCUUCCACUCUUAAACAAGAUAUUUAUAAUUCUCCAACCAAAUCACACCUAUCUAUUAGUUUAAGAAAAAUUUCAUUCAUGUACAAUGAAUAACUCUAUAAUCAAAUAAUCUAUUCAACUAUCACCCUACACAUAGAAGUUCUAAUACUACUCUAAUACUGUAAGUGUACUACUAUGUCUCAUCGUGAUUGAUAACGUUUUGCUACUUCGAAGCCCGGUGCUCUGUUGUUAAGCUCUACAUUUUCGGUUCCCAUCUCAAAGCAUCUGAAAUGAGAGUAAUGAAUAUGCAUAACCUAAUAAGAUGAAAUUUGGAACUGAAACUAAUGAAUAACAAUUAAAUGACCUCCCUCCUUACUAUCAUUUUCCUUAUUUCUAUCAUUUAGUUUUUCUCCCUUGAUAAUUAUUAAAAAACGACACUACUCCCUCCUAAUCCCACCUAACUCCUUACCGUUAGCUCUUUGUUCUCUCAACCACAUAACGGACCCGCACUCUAUCCCUUUUGUUUUAACCACAACACCUUACCAACUUGACGCCAUUCCGAUAGUCCUUAUACCACACCCAUACACCCUCUCAACAAACAUCGAUCCACCAAGACCACACACGCACACCCUCGCUGCCUCCUGGGGCCCCACCCCAACAGCAAACACAAUCCUCGUAUCAACCGUUACAUGGCCCCCUGCACUAUCGCACCACAACGUCAAAUACACACCGUAAUUCUCGCAACAACUACCACUAAAUGGCCCCACUGAACUCCACCAACGUUGGCCACAUGGCCUCCCACACAACUGACUAGGGGAGUGCCUCAUUGACCACGGAGUGGCCAUAAAUACAACAUGCUACUACUCCUCAUAUCGACAUAUCCAUGUUUGCAAGCAUUGGCCAAAGGCCUUAGACACAACUUACACACAUGCACACACAAUGUGCCACUGAUUUCUACACCCCUAUACCAGAAUCCACAAACACCGGCCAAGAGGCCUCCCACACCUAAAUACCAAUACAUACACACACCACAGAGUGCCCAAUGUCCCUACUGUAUCAUGUAAACCUCACUCCACCUACAACUUCACACAUAUGGCCCAGGAACCACCAUCCCUACACAACAGAAGGUGCCGCCCUCGGUAAGUAACCCUACACACAAACAACUAAACCUACACUCGCCACCAAUCAUCCGUAUACUUAUACCUAUACAACAAUGCAUCUCACUCUCACAGUUACCUCACCCCUCGGUUACACACUACUCAUCAUCCACAAGCUCCGUUCCUGUCCUCAUGACACCUCCAGUUCACUCCUCUCCCUCAUACAAUCGACUGCCCACACGUACACUCCUCUUUAUAGCUUCCUCCCUCUCCUUUCUCAAACCUCGGCUAUUCUUGCAUUUCCUCAGCUAAUAUCGCACCUCGACUUCCAUCUUCUUGACGAUGAGCAUCACCAUUAACCUGCACACCCAAUCUCGCAGAGGUUUGCCCUAAAUUAGUUUAGAAACUCCAAAUUUCUCUUACCUCUUGCUUCUCUCCAUCUCUAUCUUCCAAAGGUACCGCGACUUCCCCUUUUUCCCAAACUUUCGAGUAGUUCUCCUUCCACACUCGCCUCCGAUUACUGCCUCUCUCGCAAUCGUCUCUCUCUCUCACUCCUGCACUCUCUAUUUUCCCUUUUUUUUCUUUCUUCUCCUUCCUCCAUCUCUUUACCUGACACCCCCUUUUUACACCUAUCUCAACUCCACAUCACAACCACUGAUUUCUCCCAUCUCAUUCUAAUCGUUCAUCUCACCCUCCCUCACAGAUCUAGGCUAUUACAUGCACGUUUAGAUAAAAUGUUUAUGGUAAAAUAUUAAUUAUUACUUUUAAAGGUUCUACUAUUGUGGCAUUCUUUCUAAUAAUAAUAUAUUUAUAAAUGUGUCCCGUGUUACCUUUAUUCAUAUAUAUAUAUAUAUAUAUAUAUAUUACAGUAGCGUAGAAUUAAAAGAAAAGGUAUUUUCAAGAGAAAAUUUAUUAAAAGAAAUUCCACAAUAACAUGUUUUCAAAAAAUAAAAUAAUAUUUUGGAAAAUAUUCAUGUGUCCUGAUAUAGUUUCUAUAUAAAGAGAUUUUUUUUUUUAUAUUUUGAGAGGAUUUUCUCAAGUUCACAGCUGAUUUUUAGUGAGAUUUUGUUUUAUUUCAUGAGAUUUGACUCUAUCUAAUAAAAUAAACUCAUGAUUUGUCAAAAAAAUUAUAAAUUUUACCUAUAAAUAUUAGUAUGUGCUGUAUAAAAAAUUGUAGCUACAAUUCUUAAUAUCAAAAAACAAAUCAAUAAGCAAGAGCUAUGAAGGUUUCAUACAAAUCAACAAUCUUUGUUAUGCUUCUAAUCAUCAUUUUUUGUAAGUAUUUCUUUUUUUUUUCCUUUCAUAAUAAUAAUAAAUUUUAACGUGCAUUAAAAAAAUUAUUUUUCAAUAUACAUAUAAUACAUGUCAGAGCUCAAUUUAUUGAUAAAUAAGUAUUUACUUAUGAUUUCAAACAUUCAUGAUCUAGAUAUAAAUGAGUCGAAUUAUUUAUCACACGGUCUAUUAGUGAACUCUCUUUUUAGGAAUUGUGAAAUAUGUUCCAACAGAAAUAUUAUUAUUAUUGUUUGGAUUCAUAUUUUCAAAAAAGUAGAUCUCGCUCUAAUAGUCCCGAAUAUUAUGUUCGAAAAUUAAUUUUCCCAGUACAAGGGCACAUAAAAUUUUCUUAUGAAUUCUUUUGUUUUAAUGCUAAAAUUUGAAAAUUAAUAUAAUAAAUUUAGGAUUAUUUUGAUUGAAUGAGUAAUUUAAUAGUGAAAGUUAAUAGUAUAUUUUAUUUUGAAGGUAUGGUGAAGGAAACAGAAGGAAGACGUGUGAGUAGAAUAAUCAAGUGCAAGAAAGAUGGAGAUUGUGAUAAUGCUUGCGAAAGGUGCGUCUGUGUUUGUAGAGACCAGCUUUGUGUAUGUCCAUAUUCCACCAUCACCUCCCAAUCUCAAUCUACCAAUCACACCAUUAUUAAUACAACAUUUAUAUAAAAUGUAAUUACCAAAAAUAUUAUUGGUAUUAAUCAAUAAUAUUUUAUUAGAAUAAUAACUCAAUAAAAUUAAAUGUUUUAAUUCUCUUUUUCUUUUUCUUUUCCUUUUAUUUAUUUUUACAAUAAUAAAUCUAAUAUAAACAUAUACCCUAAUGCAACAAAUAAUUUUUUUUUUUUUUGCUUAUUACAAUCUUAAUACUAAAUUAUUUACAAAAUGAAAACAAAUCCAACUACAAUUUUUAUUAUUAGAUAAACAAUUAUAUUCUUUUUUUAAUAAUAAAUCAAAAUAAAUAAAUAAAUACCCAUCUCAAUUCCUGUUGUGGAAUAUAUCUAUAAUAACCAAUAAGUUGUACUAUAUAUAUAAUAUGCUUAUGGGUAUUAAAAUUGAAUUAAUUUUUUCAUUUUUUAUAAUUUUAUCAAUUAAAAUUAUGUUUUUAUUUUUAAUAUGAGUGUAACGGUCCAAGAAUUCUUAGGAAAACUCAUUUAUUAACUAUCUCUUCUUUUUCAACUGUUAUUCACCAUACAAUAGAUGGUGCACAAUUUCCGUCUCAAAAUUCAUUGCAUGUUUACAAAAAUUCAAUAAUGAUCAAUUCUCUAGUUCACACAUUGUUCGUACACCAACAAACAGCUAGUUACCAGUGAAUAAUAUAACAUGUGUAUGUUUAUAAGUGUAAUUCUUCUCUUUUAUUCAAACUCUUCCCUUGCGGUUUAAACUCCAUUGACGAAAGUUCCAUUUCAGCCUUGUCCUUACCACAUCUGUAAAUAAUAGAAAGUGAGCAUACACAAGUCCAGUGAAAUAAAUUUCAACUUAAAAUACAAUGUUGGAAACUAAUUAAAUUCCCAUGCUAUCACCUCCCAUCGGUCCACCACCUAUUCUCUCAUUUGUUCCCCUAUCUACAGUCACUAUAACCUACAACCCCUCCAAAUUUCCACACUUCCCUUUAUUGUUCCCAUUCCCAACUGCCUAAACCAUUUCCAGUCCCCAGAUGUACCUACCCGCCUUCUUCAGCCUAUGUCCAACUCAGAUUCCAGCAACCAUACUCUAGAAACUGCGUAAGAAAUUCUAACUUAAUUUUUAUGCAUUUACAAACUCUUUUUUCAAUCAAUAUCCCUACACCACAACUCAAAGUUCCUCCCAUAACUAAACUACAGACACACAUUCCAACAUUCCGCGCCCUCAACAGUAUGCCACCAAUACAAUUUCAACCAUCCCCUGGCCUUACACAUACAUACAGUCGCCAAUAUUGGCCUCUCAAAACACCAUUUAAAGUAACAUCAGCCCUCUUUUAGCCACACAUGUACGCAAUCACUUUCAUUGGCCAUCAUGCUCGCACAACACAUCCUUAAAACGACCAUCCUAUGGCCACACACACAUACAAGCAACCCUAUAAGCCACCACUCACACACAAUCCUUCCAGAACAUACUUUACUGCAUGUAUAUACCUAUGUCGACCAACANNN
RNAcentral lists this long non-coding RNA (4620 nucleotides) under Carica papaya (papaya). RNAcentral's name for it is "long non-coding RNA (CPAP_LNC006971)". Lineage: Eukaryota; Viridiplantae; Streptophyta; Magnoliopsida; Brassicales; Caricaceae. The record is from RNAcentral.